Molecule: long non-coding RNA, 509 nt
Organism: Parus major (Great Tit)
Lineage: Eukaryota; Metazoa; Chordata; Aves; Passeriformes; Paridae
Exons: 2
Source: RefSeq, a predicted model, not a curated record
AUUUUAUUAGUUUCUUUUACAGACUUAUUAUCUGCGAAUACUGACCAGGAACAACAAACAUCUCAAUUUCACCACAUUAAAGGAAUCUUGAAAACUUGCCAUCAUUUUGGAACUGGACAGAACUAAGAAAGGGCUACGCUGGUACCUGACUUCCUCAUGCAGUUGGUUCUCUUAUGAAAGUUUUCAGAAACUUGGAUGGAAAAAAAGGCCUCAACUUUGAGAAAAUACUUUUCUUCCAAAUUUUCCCAACAACCCAGGCUAAGCCUAUUAAAGUAAGGCAGACUAAGACUGCAGUGCAUGCAGAGGAAUAGCAGAAUGGAUUUAGCUGGAAUGAUUUACCAAGUUUAAAGUCUGGGCAUGGUUUACUGCAGUUUAAAGUAUCCACAACCAGGAUGUGAACUCGGAAGAAGGCGGCGUCCGGAGUGACAUACAGGCGACUCAUCUUGUACAAUCCAUCACUGUCUACCAAGAGGGUAAUCCACUGGACUCCAUUCCCCAGGCUUUCCAGG